GACGAACGCUGGCGGCGUGCUUAACACAUGCAAGUCGAACGGUAAGGCCCUUCGGGGUACACGAGUGGCGAACGGGUGAGUAACACGUGGGUGAUCUGCCCUGCACUCCGGGAUAAGCCUGAGCAACUGGGUCUGAUACCGGUUAUGACCACUGCCUGCAUGGGUGGUGGUGGAAAGCUUUUGCGGUGUGGGAUGGGCCCGCGGCCUAUCAGCUUGUUGGUGGGGUGAUGGCCUACCAAGGCGACGACGGGCAGCCGGCCUGAGAGGGUGACCGGCCACACUGGGACUGAGAUACGGCCCAGACUCCUACGGGAGGCAGCAGUGGGGAAUAUUGCACAAUGGGCGCAAGCCUGAUGCAGCGACGCCGCGUGAGGGAUGACGGCCUUCGGGUUGUAAACCUCUCUCAGCACAGACGAAGCGCAAGUGACGGUAUGUGCAGAAGAAGGACCGGCCAACUACGUGCCAGCCGCCGCAGUAA
This 478-nucleotide ribosomal RNA is filed under the name uncultured bacterium. RNAcentral's name for it is "partial 16S ribosomal RNA". It matches the Rfam family "Bacterial small subunit ribosomal RNA", at positions 28 to 523 of the family's 1533-position model. The record is from RNAcentral.